ACGCUCGACACCUACGGGGGGCAGCAGUAGGGAAUUUUCGUCAAUGGGGGGAACCCUGAACGAGCAAUGCCGCGUGAGUGAAGAAGGUCUUCGGAUCGUAAAGCUCUGUUGUAAGAGAAAAAGGACGCAUAUAGGAAAUGAUAUGCGAUUGAUGGUAUCUUACCAGAAAGCCACGGCUAACUACGUGCCAACAGCCGCGGUAAUCUGAGCGGGCUGGCAAGGC
This 223-nucleotide ribosomal RNA is filed under the name uncultured bacterium. RNAcentral's name for it is "partial 16S ribosomal RNA". It matches the Rfam family "Bacterial small subunit ribosomal RNA", at positions 328 to 539 of the family's 1533-position model. The record is from RNAcentral.